This 318-nucleotide ribosomal RNA is filed under the name Olea europaea subsp. europaea. RNAcentral describes it as "SSU_rRNA_microsporidia". It matches the Rfam family "Bacterial small subunit ribosomal RNA", at positions 556 to 873 of the family's 1533-position model. The record is from RNAcentral. Lineage: Eukaryota; Viridiplantae; Streptophyta; Magnoliopsida; Lamiales; Oleaceae.
GGGCAUAAAACUUCUGUAGGUGGCUUUUUAAGUCUGCCGUAAAAUCCCAGGGCUCAACCCUGGACAAGUGGUGGAAACUACCAAGCUGGAGUAUGGUAGAGGCAAAGAGAAUUUUAGGUGGAACAGUGAAAUGUGUAGAGAUCAAAAAGAACACCAACGGCGAAAGCACUUUGUUGGGCCAACAUUGACAUUGAGAGAUGAAAGCCAGGGAAGCGAAUGGGAUUAGAUACCCCAGUGUCCUAGCCAUAAAUUAUGGAUACUAGGUGUUGUGCGUAUCGACCCGUGCAGUGCUGUAGCUAAUGCGUUAAAUAUCUCGCC